UAAAGAAUUUGUCUGGCGGCGAUAGCGCGGUGGUCCCACCUGACCCCAUGCCGAACUCAGCAGUGAAACGCCGUAGCGCCGAUGGUAGUGUGGGGUCUCCCCAUGUGAGAGUAGGGAACUGCCAGAC
This 127-nucleotide ribosomal RNA is filed under the name Photorhabdus laumondii subsp. laumondii TTO1. The record is from RNAcentral. Lineage: Bacteria; Pseudomonadati; Pseudomonadota; Gammaproteobacteria; Enterobacterales; Morganellaceae.